This 497-nucleotide ribosomal RNA is filed under the name uncultured bacterium. RNAcentral describes it as "partial 16S ribosomal RNA". It matches the Rfam family "Bacterial small subunit ribosomal RNA", at positions 28 to 507 of the family's 1533-position model. The record is from RNAcentral.
GACGAACGCUGGCGGCGUGCCUAAUACAUGCAAGUUGAGCGAUGAAGCUUGGUGCUUGCACCAAUUUGAAGAGCAGCGAACGGGUGAGUAACGCGUGGGGAAUCUGCCUUUGAGCGGGGGACAACAUUUGGAAACGAAUGCUAAUACCGCAUAAUAACUUUAAACAUAAGUUUUAAGUUUGAAAGAUGCAAUUGCAUCACUCAAAGAUGAUCCCGCGUUGUAUUAGCUAGUUGGUGAGGUAAAGGCUCACCAAGGCGAUGAUACAUAGCCGACCUGGGAGGGUGAUCGGCCAAAUUGGGACUGAGACAAGGCCCAAACUCCUACGGGAGGCAGCAGUAGGGAAUCUUCGGCAAGGGACGAAAGUCUGACCGAGAAACGCCGCGUGAGUGAAGAAGGUUUUCGGAUCGUAAAACUCGGUUGGUAGAGAAGAACGUUGGUGAGAGUGGAAAGCUCAUCAAGUGACGGUAACUACCCAGAAAGGGACGGCUAACUACGUG